This 74-nucleotide transfer RNA is filed under the name Cystoclonium purpureum f. stellatum. RNAcentral's name for it is "tRNA-Phe". It matches the Rfam family "tRNA". Rfam says of the family: Transfer RNA (tRNA) molecules are approximately 80 nucleotides in length. Their secondary structure includes four short double-helical elements and three loops (D, anti-codon, and T loops). The record is from RNAcentral. Lineage: Eukaryota; Rhodophyta; Florideophyceae; Gigartinales; Cystocloniaceae.
GUCUAGAUAGCUCAGUGGUUAAGAGCAUGGGAUUGAAGAUCCUGUAGUCAUAGGUUCAAAUCCUAUUCUGGACA